Columba livia (rock pigeon) is the source of this 321-nucleotide long non-coding RNA. RefSeq lists it as uncharacterized. The transcript is spliced from 3 exons. The record is from RefSeq and is a predicted model, not a curated record. NCBI's taxonomy places the organism in Eukaryota, Metazoa, Chordata, Aves, Columbiformes, Columbidae.
UGUUAAUCUGGAGCCUGAGCCAAGACACUCGUGGAUAGCUCCUGCCAGGUGGUUGGCCUACCACAUGCUAAGCACACAGACAAGAAAGAAAGACUUUUUACAGUUUUGUCUGCUGACAGCUAUGGUGCCCAUCCUAGGCCUGCUCCUGGCUGACUGAAAUCCAUGAGACUUUUGGAGUAAGGCUGGGGCCUCUCUAGCUCCAAAAGAAGAUUUUAUUGCACACUUUGCAUCACUCCUUGUGAAAAUUUCUUGUGGAAGAAUGAAGAAUGUGUUACUAGAGUUGUUGAAACAACUCUCACAGGAAGUGAAAGCAAACUGGCC